Long non-coding RNA from Mya arenaria, 2175 nucleotides. RefSeq lists it as uncharacterized. Lineage: Eukaryota; Metazoa; Mollusca; Bivalvia; Myida; Myidae. The transcript has 3 exons. The record is from RefSeq and is a predicted model, not a curated record.
AAAUGGGCUGCUUCAUAUCGAGCUUAAUCCGGUUGUUGAGGGCGACCAAGGAUCGUACAAACUGACGGAAUUAAGUGAAACUACUGCUGUCAUAGAAUGUGUGACUUUAUACAUGCUAGCUAAGCCUCGGCCGCCUACAGAUUUACACAUAAUCAAUACGCCUGGCUUGGUAAACGCUAAAUGGAGUAAAGGCUUUAACGGAGGAAGUCUUCAAACUUUUCUACUGCAAAUAUCCUAUGAUACGAUUUGGAAGAACUUGACGCAAGUGAACGAAACUGACAGGAAUAAUAUGUUGAAUGAAACCGUGUAUCAAGUCAAUAUCACAAAUGUAGAACCUGGGAAACACUCGGUGCGAGUUAUUGCUUUCAACAAAGUUGGGUAUGCAGACCCCGUGCUAUUCAUGGAAAACGAUUCGGAACAGAUUAACUUUCAAGAAAGCACGAGUGGAGCUAAUAGUUUGAAAAUUACAGUUAUGUCGCUGAGCUUCACAGUUGCAUUUAUUAUACAUGUUCUUGCACGUGAUACAAUUGAACCGUGGUUACUCUGUGCCUUUUGAAAAUACCAAAACCAAACAAAGAAAUGGCCUAUUUUCUCAAUACAACCAACUCUCAAGUGUUAGAUAGUCCUCCACAGUGUCAUUGUGUUUGCUUUGGGAUCAUUUUACAUUGUUUUGUUAUUCAUGAAAAUCGAAUACCGCAGACGCCCGAGCUUAGUGGUAUUUGUAAUAUUUCACGAACACAAUUCUCGACUUUUAAAACUGUCAAUGAUCCUAUCUUUCUUAAUGUUGUCAGUGGGUGCAUGGGAAAUCUCAACCGUUAUUCUGAAGGAUGAAUGUUGAAACUGUUCACUAUGUGUGACAGUACCAAAAACACGAUAUUACAGGACCUUUAAAAGACAUAAAUAUAUUAUAUGUUUCUUAAAUUUCGGCAAGAAAACUUGACCAGAAAAAUCGGCGGUCUGUUUUUCCAAAAUUAACAUCAGUGCACUCGUGUCAGUUUCACAAAACUCCAAGACAGAGUCAUUUACUUAUCCAAAAAGAUUGACAAAGCUUAAAGAGUAGCUUAUUAAUCACGACUGUACCAUGUAUACACUUAGGCUUAUAGUGUUAUUAUUUGUAGAUGAAAUGGCCAGUGUAGUCAAGUCAUCUGACGAAAUUCAGAAUCAUUUUGAUUAUGUUCUCAAACCUAAAAUACUAUGUCAACUAUUUUAUCCUUCUGUUGCCCCUCUUUUCUUUAUUACCUGUUUAUGCUUGGGAAAGGGCCGUAACUGCUGUUGGAAAAACUUCCAAAGGGCCCAAUCCCUUUGCAUGUCCUUUUUAUUUGAACGCAAAAUUUGUUACAUUGCACUGUUCUGUUUCUUUGUUGUUAUCAUUAUCAUAUAAGGUGUAAAUGUAUCGUUAUGCAAUAAAAUAUGUUUAACUAAAUAUGCUUUCGAAAUAUGGGGUUUUCUAAAUGAGAAUAAAUGUCAAUAUAUUUGUUAGAAUUAUACACUUUUAGUUUAAAGUUGUCAACAGUGAUAACAUUAUAAUACCCACUGUAUAUAUGCAAGCAUUAUCUGAUUGUAUAAAUGGUAACAGUAAUUGGGUAUCUAAUAUUAGAAAGCUAUUGAGAAAUUCUGGUUUUGCUUGUGUUUUUGAUAAUGUUAAUUUCAUAAGUAUUAAGUCAUUUUUGUGUGAGUUUAAAACUUGAAUAGUUUACUUUUUAAGCAAGAAUGGUUUACAUCUUUAGAUAACCCAAUUCUUUUUUUGUAUAAAUAAUUGUUAACAAACAUUUUCAUUUAAAAAUGUGCCGCAUCAUACCAAUAUUGACCCAAUCACUGGAACAACCUAUAGCAAGUGUUUCUUACAUUCUUGUUUUGUUGUAUAUAUUGUAAAUUACUGUUAAAUAUGUUAAUAAUUAAAGAAGUCCAACUUCAACAAAAAUUAUUUAUUUAUGAAACAACGUUUCGGCCACUCGGCCUUCAUCAGGUUGUAUGUAUAUAAUGAACAGGAAAUGACGUCAACAUCAAAUGACAACAUCUGGUCAAGUUUUCUUGCCGAAAUCGUUAAUUAUGUUAACAUUUCGAAAUAAAGAGUGUAGAGGUGUAUAUAAUCAAACGGGUAGAUAUACCCGAAAUCGUAAUCAACGUGAAGAAAAAUUUCUGUUUCAACUCAAGAGAUAUAGAAAUAGAAGUAAA